RNAcentral lists this unclassified non-coding RNA (167 nucleotides) under uncultured Helotiales. RNAcentral's name for it is "sequence contains ITS1". Lineage: Eukaryota; Fungi; Ascomycota; Leotiomycetes; Helotiales. The record is from RNAcentral.
CAGAGUUCAUGCCCUAACGGGUAGAUCUCCCACCCUAUGUAUUUAUACCUUUGUUGCUUUGGUAGGCCGUUGGGCUUCGGCCUGGCUACCGGCUCCGGCUGGUAAGUGCCUACCAGAGGACCCCAAACUCUGAAUAUUAGUGUCGUCUGAGUACUAUAUAAUAGUUA